GGGAUUGUGGCUCAGUGGUAGAGCGCUCACCUACCACGUGUGAGGCUUUGGGUAGAACCUCAGCGGUUCUA
This 71-nucleotide transfer RNA is filed under the name Ictidomys tridecemlineatus (thirteen-lined ground squirrel). Its description in RNAcentral is "Spermophilus tridecemlineatus (thirteen-lined ground squirrel) tRNA". It matches the Rfam family "tRNA". Rfam says of the family: Transfer RNA (tRNA) molecules are approximately 80 nucleotides in length. Their secondary structure includes four short double-helical elements and three loops (D, anti-codon, and T loops). The record is from Rfam by way of RNAcentral. Lineage: Eukaryota; Metazoa; Chordata; Mammalia; Rodentia; Sciuridae.